AACUUUGUGCAGUGGUAGUAUCGUAGCCAGUGAGGUUUAUCCGAGGCGCAAUUAUUGCUAAUUGAAAACUUUUCCCAAUAUCCCGCCAUGACGACUUGAAAUACAGUCGGCAUUGGGCAAUUUUUGACAGUCUCUAUGGAGA
Small nuclear RNA from Callithrix jacchus (white-tufted-ear marmoset), 142 nucleotides. Its record names the gene U4. It matches the Rfam family "U4 spliceosomal RNA". From Rfam's summary of the family: U4 small nuclear RNA (U4 snRNA) is a component of the major U2-dependent spliceosome. The structure of U4 snRNA from yeast and human has been reported. The record is from Ensembl. Lineage: Eukaryota; Metazoa; Chordata; Mammalia; Primates; Cebidae.